Long non-coding RNA from Lutra lutra (Eurasian river otter), 637 nucleotides. RefSeq lists it as uncharacterized. NCBI's taxonomy places the organism in Eukaryota, Metazoa, Chordata, Mammalia, Carnivora, Mustelidae. The record is from RefSeq and is a predicted model, not a curated record. The transcript has 2 exons.
CCAGGACCCUGGGAUCAUGACCUGAGCUAAAGGCAGAGGCUUUAACCCACUGAGCCACCCAGAAGAUUGAUGAUAAGCUAGUAAUCUGCAUAAAAUUUUUAUUUAUAUUACCAUCUACCACUGGGGCCAGAGUGAUAACAUGGACCAUGUGAAACUUAGGGACAAACUUUCUAAAGAAGCAGUAUCAUCUACUCUGAAGAUAUUAGUUAUUUUUUAAAAAGUGUUCCAGAAAAUAAUUAAAGAUAUGCAGUUGCAGAAGUUAUAUUUACAUAUCAUUCUGUGAAAAAUUAGUUUUAGUUUAUUUAAAUAGCCUCCAUGCCCAACAUGGGGCUUGAACUCAUGACCUGAGAUCAAGAGUCACAUGCUCUACUGACUGAGCCAGACAGGCACCCCUAGUUUUCAUUUAGAACAGAGUUCUUUUAAAUUAAUUUUGCUCAUUUUCAGUUCCAAGUUUUGUACCCAUAUAAAAAGUGGAGUGGCAGCUAUUCUUAUGCUGGCUCUGUUAGCAGAAAACUUUGAAAAUAGGUACAAGAUGCCAGUUUUAUAUCUGUAUUAUAUGAAUUUGAAUGAUUACCUAUUGUAUAAGAAUAAUGUCCAUACUAAAAUAAGAAACCUAUAGAGCAGAGUAUUCUUGGAA